This is a non-coding RNA of Peromyscus maniculatus bairdii (prairie deer mouse), 838 nucleotides long. Lineage: Eukaryota; Metazoa; Chordata; Mammalia; Rodentia; Cricetidae. The record is from RefSeq and is a predicted model, not a curated record.
CAUCGUAUCGAGUGAGUAAAUUACGAAAACAAUGUACACAGUACAUUAAUUUCAUAUUACUUUAGUCUUCGCUUAAACACAAUAUGUUGAGAAAGUAAACGAAUGAAGAAAAGUUUGUGGGUUUUGUUUUGUUUUUCAUAAUUGUUUCAUGUGAUCCUACAGCAACAUGGCCCAGAAGCCAGGGUGGAGAUCCUUAUAUUACAGGAUUGUGGAUGUUUGAGAAUACAUUGUCUGCUCUCCCAGAGACCUGGGUUCAUGUACAAGGAGACGGAACUAAAGGAUCUGGUGUCUUUUCGUUUUUAUUUUAUUUUGUAUCAAGUACCCACUUCAUCAUGUACAUGAAAUUUGUUGAAAAGAAUGGAAAUGUAAGAAAUUUGAGUGCAGUGUUCUCAAAAGAAACCAGUCUAAGCAAAGAAUUAUGGGACUUUUAUGUCACCGUGACCCAUCAACAUGGAAUUCCAGUUGGAAAUAUACAAGAUAUCCUCAGAAAUGACACCUGUCUGCAAUGAAGAUAUGGAUUUGGAUACAAAACUGAGACAACUUGCUACGUAUUUGUCCAUGGCAUGAAAAUCGCAACUUAGAAGUUGCAUCCAUCAUUCAUUCCCAAUGGUCUAAGGACUUGCUUCUGUAGUUCAGAUCCUUUACUCAGCGCUUUGUCUCAAAUUUCUGCCCUUGACAUGUUUAUUCCAUGCUCUUUAUCUGUCAUUCAGUGAAUAAGUUCUUCUCCUGCCAUUAAAAAUUUAUAUAAAGUUAUUUAUCAUGAAAUCUACUUAGUAUUAAAUAGGAAUCUUCAAUAUGGGACUCUUUUUUAUGUACGUGUGAGUGUAGGGUGUGUAAG